GUUCACAGCAACACCAUGCUGGUAACAAACACUGAGUCCUGCCAACCCAGACAGGCAGAAAUCGUGAGCUGGGUUCUCACCAAGCACAGCAUCAGCUCUAAAACGGAGCAAAGAAGGCACUUAGAUUCCAGGAGCGGGAAGUUUUGGAACAGGAGCAGACAGAAGAUAUUGCCGUGGUUGGGCUAAAAGUGAGACAGAACUUUUCCCUUGCUCCUGAGGGAUGUACAUUGGGAACAGGCAAAAGCUGCUGUCCUUUGCUCUCUGCUGUACAACCUGCCCUUGGCAUCUCACGACUUCACAUCUGGAAAAGUGCUUUUGGGGAGGUGGGAGUGAUGCUCCUGGUCCUGCUUCCCAAGCUGGUCCGAAACCUCCACGGCCAGCGCA
Long non-coding RNA from Manacus vitellinus (golden-collared manakin), 384 nucleotides. RefSeq lists it as uncharacterized. Lineage: Eukaryota; Metazoa; Chordata; Aves; Passeriformes; Pipridae. The record is from RefSeq and is a predicted model, not a curated record. The transcript is spliced from 3 exons.